Molecule: transfer RNA, 61 nt
Filed under: Panopea abrupta
Lineage: Eukaryota; Metazoa; Mollusca; Bivalvia; Adapedonta; Hiatellidae
Description: tRNA-Asp
Source: RNAcentral
GGAGUAGUUUAGGAAGAAUAUGAUUUUGUCAAGAUUAAGGUGUUAAGUGUAACCUCUUCUU